This 465-nucleotide ribosomal RNA is filed under the name uncultured bacterium. Its description in RNAcentral is "bacterial SSU rRNA". It matches the Rfam family "Bacterial small subunit ribosomal RNA", at positions 338 to 795 of the family's 1533-position model. The record is from RNAcentral.
CCUANGGGGGGCAGCAGUGGGGAAUCUUGCGCAAUGGACGAAUGUCUGACGCAGCGACGCCGCGUGUGGGAUGAAGGCCUUCGGGUUGUAAACCACUGUCGGAGGGGACGAAGGCCCGGCCGGUAACUCGGACCGGGAUUGACGGUACCCUCAAAGGAAGCACCGGCUAACUCCGUGCCAGCAGCCGCGGUAAUACGGAGGGUGCGAGCGUUGUCCGGAAUCACUGGGCGUAAAGGGCGCGUAGGCGGCUGGGUAAGUCAUGCGUGAAAUUCCGGGGCUCAACCCCGGAACGGCGUGUGGGACUGCCCGGCUAGAGCAUAGUAGAGGCGAGUGGAAUUCCAGGUGUAGCGGUGGAAUGCGUAGAUAUCUGGAAGAACACCGGUGGCGAAGGCGGCUCGCUGGGCUAUUGCUGACGCUGAGGCGCGAAAGCGUGGGGAGCAAACAGGAUUAGAUACCCCUNUANUC